GCCAGCAGCUAGCUCUCUGCAACUCUCACAUGGUCUCCCACUGAAGCUAAGUAGGGAUUCGUCAGGUAAGUACCUGAAUGGGAGACCACAUGGGAAAGCUAGAUUGCUGCCGGGG
Ribosomal RNA from Danio rerio (zebrafish), 115 nucleotides. NCBI's taxonomy places the organism in Eukaryota, Metazoa, Chordata, Actinopteri, Cypriniformes, Danionidae. The record is from Ensembl.